UAUUUAUACAAGGAUCUGAGACGCGAGUGGAAAAGACGUCUGUACAAAAAGACGUCCGUACGGACGGAUGCGUCCGUACGACGUUUAGAUUAACAACGGACUAAUCACGUCCUAAUGACGGUUCGCUAAUUUAGUCGGUUCGUAACAGCUUGCUCUCGCCGACCCUCUAUCGCAUGAUGACAAGGAAAAAAGCCGAUACAAAUCGAACACAUGUUCCACGGAUCCUCGGAACUAGCAUAGCAACGCACAAACACAUAAGCUACAAAUCGUUCUCCCCUGUUUCCUUCCGUUAGUGAGAGCAGAGGUCCUACUCUCUUUUUAUAACCUAACUAAAAAAGGCCACACGAGAACACCUGAACGGACCAACGCGAGAAAAGAAACCUCUCCCGUGUCGCCCUCUCCGCGGGCGACCCGGGAGCGCAGCGCCGCCACCUAGGGUUCCCUCCCUCGCCGCCGGCGACGAGAGUCACAGGGCAAAGCCCUUGUGGUGCUGGUGGCGGUGGGGAUCCCCUCUGUCGGUGUGAGGGUCGGUGUGUGGCGCCUCCUCUUUGCAUGGUCGGGCGUCGCACCAUCCAGUUCCCUCGCCCCUCCACAACGAGCUCGCCGGCUGGAUCCCAAGAUGUGGUGGCUCUGGUGAGUCUCUGGAGUGGGCGCUGGCCUUUGUGGCUGGUAUGCCCAGAUCCAAUCUGGGACGACGGCGGUUGGGUCGGGGCUGGACGGCGGUCCGACGGGACAGUGGUGGUGACACACUUCUAGCUGCGCACUGGCCAGGGCUUGGAUGCGCUUGGUGAUGUGGCAGUUUUGCCCUAGCCAUCUUCUUCCGUCAUGGUGUCUACUGUCGGAUGUCGAUCUCUUUGAUCUGGCCACUGACAAGUCAUGGUGUCUACUGUCGGAUGUCGAUCUCUUUGAUCUGGCCACUGACAAGUUUCGGUCUUCACCGUCAGAGAUGUAUAUGGAUUGACGCACGUCGCUCUUGAAUCUAGAUCAAAAAGGCUCCGGUCGCGCGCGCUCAUAUGAUCAGCCAAUACGGUUUCAAGAGGGUGUGGAGCGAAGCUUCGCUUUCUUAUUGGAGUCAUGAGACAUGUCUAAGUCAAGAUUCCUAGGGCAUUGAUAGAGGUGGAGGAAGUCAUGGCAGCUGUGAUUGGAGGUCUUGAAGCGUUGGCGGAAAGGUGUAGCGGAUGCGAUGAAGACAGUGUGCUAGGUGUUUGGUGACUUGCAACAGCGGCCUCGGCAAGCGGGGGCGACAAUACUGGAGGUCUACAAUUUUGGUGGUGCUCCUCGAGUAUCGAUUCUUGAUUCCGAGGAUGAAAACUCAAGGUUAAGUAACCUCUCCUGUUGGCUACUAGAACUUGAAGUAAACCUUGAGGGUUGGAGUUCAAACCUCUUGUAGCGUACAUUUUGUAAGAUUAAAAGGAAAAGGGGGAAAAGUACGUUGGUACGUGCACAAGCCGCGUAUCUAUUCGGCUGACGUAUUUAUGAAUCCAUCAGUGUUUAACAUGGCAUUCACUAAGUAUGCGUCCUUUUCUCUCAACAAAUCCGUUUGAUUGGACUAA
Long non-coding RNA from Hordeum vulgare subsp. vulgare (domesticated barley), 1553 nucleotides. RefSeq lists it as uncharacterized. NCBI's taxonomy places the organism in Eukaryota, Viridiplantae, Streptophyta, Magnoliopsida, Poales, Poaceae. The record is from RefSeq and is a predicted model, not a curated record. The transcript has 2 exons.